AGCUCCAAUAGCGUAUAUCAAAAUUGUUGCGGUUAAAAGCUCGUAGUUGGAUCCCUGCCGAGGACGACCGGUCUGCCCACUGGGUGUGUAUCUGCUUCGGCCUGGGCAUCUUCUUGGAGAACGUCUCUGCGCUUGACUGUGUGGUGCGGUAUCCAGGACUUUCACGUUGAGGAAAUUAAAGUGUUUCAAGCAGGCACACGCCUCGAAUACAUUAGCAUGGAAUAAUAAUACAGGACCUUGGUUUUAUUUUGUUGGUUUCCAGAAUUAAGGUAACGAAUAAUAGGGAUAGUUUGGGGCAUUCGUAUUUAAGUGUCAGAAUUGAGAUUCUUGGAUUUGUUAAAGACGGACUAGUGCGAAAGCAUUUGCCAAGGAUGGUUUCA
This 380-nucleotide ribosomal RNA is filed under the name uncultured eukaryote. RNAcentral's name for it is "SSU rRNA". It matches the Rfam family "Eukaryotic small subunit ribosomal RNA", at positions 587 to 972 of the family's 1831-position model. The record is from RNAcentral.